UUUAUUGCAUACGGAUCGGCUCGCGUGCCAUNAGGUAGACGGCGGGGUACGGGCCCACCCGUGCCGACGAUGGUAGGGGUUUUGAGAGGAGUCCCCCCACAUGGGGANUGAGACACGUCCCAGACUCNUACGGGAGGCAGCAGUGAGGNAUANUGGACAAUGGCCGGAAGGCUGAUCCAGCCAUGCCGCGUGCGGGAGGACGGCCCUAUGGGUUGUAAACCGCUUNUGCGAGGGAGCAAUAAGGUUCACGUGUGGGCCGAUGAGAGUACCUCGCGAAUAAGCAUCGGCUAACUCCGUGCCAGCAGCCGCGGUAAUACGGAGGAUGCAAGCGUUAUCCGGAUUUAUUGGGUUUAAAGGGUGCGUAGGCGGUUUGCUAAGCGGGAGGUGAAAUGCCGGCGCUCAACGUCGGAAGUGCCUCCCGAACUGGUGGACUGGAAUGACUCUGCCGUGGGAGGAAUGUGUAGUGUAGCGGUGAAAUGCUUAGAGAUUACACAGAACACCGAUUGCGAAGGCAUCUCACGAAGGGUUGAUUGACGCUGAGGCACGAAAGCGUGGGGAUCAAACA
RNAcentral lists this ribosomal RNA (565 nucleotides) under uncultured bacterium. RNAcentral's name for it is "bacterial SSU rRNA". It matches the Rfam family "Bacterial small subunit ribosomal RNA", at positions 211 to 774 of the family's 1533-position model. The record is from RNAcentral.